GGGAAACCCAGUGUGACUCGUCACACUAUCAUUAACUGAAUCCAUAGGUUAAUGAGGCGAACCGGGGGAACUGAAACAUCUAAGUACCCCGAGGAAAAGAAAUCAACCGAGAUUCCCCCAGUAGCGGCGAGCGAACGGGGAGGAGCCCAGAGCCUGAAUCAGCAUGUGUGUUAGUGGAAGCGUCUGGAAAGGCGCGCGAUACAGGGUGACAGCCCCGUACACAAAAGCGCAUGUGCUGUGAGCUCGAUGAGUAGGGCGGGACACGUGGUAUCCUGUCUGAAUAUGGGGGGACCAUCCUCCAAGGCUAAAUACUCCUGACUGACCGAUAGUGAACCAGUACCGUGAGGGAAAGGCGAAAAGAACCCCGGCGAGGGGAGUGAAAAAGAACCUGAAACCGUGUACGUACAAGCAGUGGGAGCACCCUUUGGGUGUGACUGCGUACCUUUUGUAUAAUGGGUCAGCGACUUAUAUUCUGUAGCAAGGUUAACCGAAUAGGGGAGCCGGAGGGAAACCGAGUCUUAACCGGGCGUUAAGUUGCAGGGUAUAGACCCGAAACCCGGUGAUCUAGCCAUGGGCAGGUUGAAGGUUGGGUAACACUAACUGGAGGACCGAACCGACUAAUGUUGAAAAAUUAGCGGAUGACCUGUGGCUGGGGGUGAAAGGCCAAUCAAACCGGGAGAUAGCUGGUUCUCCCCGAAAGCUAUUUAGGUAGCGCCUCGUGAAUUCAUCUCCGGGGGUAGAGCACUGUUUCGGCUAGGGGGCCAUCCCGGCUUACCAACCCGAUGCAAACUGCGAAUACCGGAGAAUGUUAUCACGGGAGACACACGGCGGGUGCUAACGUCCGUCGUGAAGAGGGAAACAACCCAGACCGCCAGCUAAGGUCCCAAAGUCAUGGUUAAGUGGGAAACGAUGUGGGAAGGCCCAGACAGCCAGGAUGUUGGCUUAGAAGCAGCCAUCAUUUAAAGAAAGCGUAAUAGCUCACUGGUCGAGUCGGCCUGCGCGGAAGAUGUAACGGGGCUAAACCAUGCACCGAAGCUGCGGCAGCGACACUGUGUGUUGUUGGGUAGGGGAGCGUUCUGUAAGCCUGUGAAGGUGUGUCGUGAGGC
RNAcentral lists this ribosomal RNA (1106 nucleotides) under Salmonella enterica subsp. enterica serovar Enteritidis. RNAcentral's name for it is "partial 23S ribosomal RNA". It matches the Rfam family "Bacterial large subunit ribosomal RNA", at positions 121 to 1269 of the family's 2925-position model. The record is from RNAcentral. Lineage: Bacteria; Pseudomonadati; Pseudomonadota; Gammaproteobacteria; Enterobacterales; Enterobacteriaceae.